CAGCCGCCACGGGAAUACGAAGGGUGCAAGCGUUACUCGGAAUUACUGGGCGUAAAGCGUGCGUAGGUGGUGGUUUAAGUCCGUUGUGAAAGCCCUGGGCUCAACCUGGGAAUUGCAGUGGAUACUGGGUCACUAGAGUGUGGUAGAGGAUAGUGGAAUUUCCGGUGUAGCAGUGAAAUGCGUAGAGAUCGGAAGGAACAUCUGUGGCGAAGGCGACUAUCUGGGCCAACACUGACACUGAGGCACGAAAGCGUGGGGAGCAAACAGGAUUAGAUACCCCCGUAGUCCCUGUCUCUUAUAC
Molecule: ribosomal RNA, 301 nt
Filed under: uncultured bacterium
Lineage: Bacteria
Description: partial 16S ribosomal RNA
Rfam family: Bacterial small subunit ribosomal RNA
Source: RNAcentral